Molecule: transfer RNA, 82 nt
Filed under: Hildenbrandia rubra
Lineage: Eukaryota; Rhodophyta; Florideophyceae; Hildenbrandiales; Hildenbrandiaceae
Description: tRNA-Leu
Rfam family: tRNA
About the family: Transfer RNA (tRNA) molecules are approximately 80 nucleotides in length. Their secondary structure includes four short double-helical elements and three loops (D, anti-codon, and T loops).
Source: RNAcentral
GGGUUGAUGGCGAAAUUGGUAUACGCAUCACACUCAAAAUGUGACGACUAUUGUCUUGAGGGUUCAAAUCCCUCUCUACCCA